Molecule: ribosomal RNA, 423 nt
Filed under: uncultured bacterium
Lineage: Bacteria
Description: bacterial SSU rRNA
Rfam family: Bacterial small subunit ribosomal RNA
Source: RNAcentral
AAGACCUUGCGCUGAUUGAGCGGCCGAUAUCAGAUUAGCUAGUUGGUGGGGUAAAAGCUCACCAAGGCGACGAUCUGUAGCGGGUCUGAGAGGAUGAUCCGCCACACUGGAACUGAGACACGGUCCAGACUCCUACGGGAGGCAGCAGUGGGGAAUUUUGGACAAUGGGGGCAACCCUGAUCCAGCCACGCCGCGUGAGUGAAGAAGGCCUUCGGGUUGUAAAGCUCUUUCAGCCGGGAAGAAAACGUAUGGGUUAAUACCCUGUGCGGAUGACGGUACCGGAAUAAGAAGCACCGGCUAACUACGUGCCAGCAGCCGCGGUAAUACGUAGGGUGCGAGCGUUAAUCGGAAUUACUGGGCGUAAAGCGUGCGCAGGCGGUUUUGUAAGACAGGCGUGAAAUCCCCGGGCUUAACCUGGGAACU